Long non-coding RNA from Carassius carassius (crucian carp), 652 nucleotides. RefSeq lists it as uncharacterized. The transcript has 2 exons. Lineage: Eukaryota; Metazoa; Chordata; Actinopteri; Cypriniformes; Cyprinidae. The record is from RefSeq and is a predicted model, not a curated record.
CCCAGUGUACACGUGACGUCACAGAGGGUCAUUGACGUCACAGUGAAGCGUUCUACAGGUGGAGUUCAGCGUCGAGCCGCACAACUAAUCUGAUCUAGUGUGGGUCAGUUCAGCGAGAAUCCGAGCAGAAGCAAAGAUCAUCCCGUAAGAAAACACUCGAGUCGAUUGCUGAUUUUCCAGCGUUUCUCCAGCUCGGGAGUCAGUGGAGCUCAGCUCUAGUGUUCAGUGUUAGUAGAUGAGACACUGACAGCUGGAGGAAACACCGAUCCUUCAGGAGCAAACCCAGAGGCUUCUCCUGCAGCAGAAGCAGCUAUGGAGAACAACCCAACAGAAAAAGCAUCAAAACACAAGAAUAGAUUUUGUGCAUUCUUCAAAAAGACAUGGCAUGCUGUGAAAAGCGGAGACAAGUGUCGACGUCGAGGCAACAGUGUGGUCCUUCAUCAGUCUGUGUCCGACACAGAUUCAGCUGAUCCUCAGUGUGGUCCGUCCGGCCUCGAACCAGCGGCACAUUGGCAUCUAGCUGAUCCACAGCCAGGCCCGUCCGGCCUUGAGCCAACAGCCCUACAGGAGCAAACUGAUCCUCCACCGCGUCCAUCCAGCGUCACACCGGUGAACUGUGAUGAAGAACCAGCUGAUCCUGAGCCAGCUGAAG